AACGAACGCUGGCGGCAGGCUUAACACAUGCAAGUCGAGCGAACCCUUCGGGGUGAGCGGCGGACGGGUUAGUAACGCGUGGGAACGUGCCCUUGGGUAAGGAACAACCAUUGGAAACGAUGGCUAAUACCUUAUGAUGUCUUCGGACCAAAGAUUUAUCGCCCAAGGAUCGGCCCGCGUUGGAUUAGAUAGUUGGUGGGGUAAUGGCCUACCAAGUCGACGAUCCAUAGCUGGUUUGAGAGGAUGAUCAGCAACACUGGGACUGAGACACGGCCCAGACUCCUACGGGAGGCAGCAGUGGGGAAUCUUGGACAAUGGGCGCAAGCCUGAUCCAGCCAUGCCGCGUGAUCGAUGACGGCCCUAGGGUUGUAAAGAUCUUUCAGUGGGGAUGAUAAUGACAGUACCCACAGAAGAAGUCCCGGCUAACUCCG
This 431-nucleotide ribosomal RNA is filed under the name uncultured Paracoccaceae bacterium. Its description in RNAcentral is "bacterial SSU rRNA". It matches the Rfam family "Bacterial small subunit ribosomal RNA", at positions 29 to 505 of the family's 1533-position model. The record is from RNAcentral. Lineage: Bacteria; Pseudomonadati; Pseudomonadota; Alphaproteobacteria; Rhodobacterales; Paracoccaceae.